This 485-nucleotide ribosomal RNA is filed under the name uncultured bacterium. RNAcentral describes it as "partial 16S ribosomal RNA". It matches the Rfam family "Bacterial small subunit ribosomal RNA", at positions 29 to 523 of the family's 1533-position model. The record is from RNAcentral.
AGUGAACGCUGGCGGCGUGCUUAACACAUGCAAGUCGAACGAGAACGGAAUAUAGCUUGCUAUAUUUGUCAGCUAAGUGGCGCACGGGUGAGUAAUGUAUAGAUAACCUGCCCUUAAGAAAGGAAUAACAGUUGGAAACGACUGCUAAUGCCCUAUAUGCCUUUAAUACAUAAGUAUGCAAGGGAAACGCUUUAGUGCUUAAGGAUGGGUCUGUAUGGUAUCAGCUUGUUGGUGAGGUAAUGGCUCACCAAGGCUAUGACGCCUAACUGGUUUGAGAGGAUGAUCAGUCACACUGGAACUGAGACACGGUCCAGACUCCUACGGGAGGCAGCAGUGGGGAAUAUUGCACAAUGGGCGAAAGUCUGAUGCAGCAACGCCGCGUGGAGGAUGACACAUUUCGGUGCGUAAACUCCUUUUAUAUAGGAAGAUAAUGACAGUACUAUAUGAAUAAGCACCGGCUAACUCCGUGCCAGCAGCCGCAGUAA